Molecule: ribosomal RNA, 301 nt
Filed under: uncultured bacterium
Lineage: Bacteria
Description: partial 16S ribosomal RNA
Rfam family: Bacterial small subunit ribosomal RNA
Source: RNAcentral
CAGUAGCCGCGGGAAUACAGAGGAUGCAAGCGUUAUCCGGAAUGAUUGGGCGUAAAGCGUCUGUAGGUGGCUUUUCAAGUCCGCCAUCAAAUCCCAAGGCUCAACCCUGGACAGGCGGUGGAAGAUACCAAGCUGGAGUACGGUAGGGGCAGAGGGAAUUUCCGGUGGAGCGGUGAAAUGCGUUGAGAUUGGAAAGAACACCAACGGUGAAAGCACUCUGCUGGGCCGACACUGACACUGAGAGACGAAAGCUAGGGGAGCAAAUGGGAUUAGAUACCCGUGUAGUCCCUGUCUCUUAUAC